CGCCCGUCAAACUAUGAGAGCUGGUAAUACCUGAAACCGUUAGGCUAACCUCGUGAGGCUUGCGUCUAGGGUAGGACUGGUGAUUGGAGUUAAGUCGUAACAAGGUACCCCUACGGGAAUGUGGGGGUGGAUCACCUCCUUUCUAACGGAGUUAAUUUAAUUAAUUAACUAACAUUAGAUGUUAGUGUACAUUUUAUAAAAUCCAAUUUUCUUUAUUAACCUAAUAUUAAUAAAUAAAGAAUUUGGUCAGAUUCUAUUUAGUUUUGAGAGAUUUUUCUCUCAGGAUAGUUCUUUGAAAACUGAAUAUUACAACAAUCUUUUUAGUCUAAUUCAUAUUUAACAAGAAUUUUAGAGGAUACAAAAUAAGUUACUAAGGGCUUAUGGUGGAUGCCUUGGGACUGGAAGGCGAUGAAGGACGUGCAAACCUGCGAUAAGCUACGGGUAGCUGGUAAGAGGCGUUUAUCCGUAGAUGUCCGAAUGGGGGAACCCGAUAGAUAGUGAUAUCUAUCAUUAUUAGCUGAAUAAAUAGGUUAAUAAGGCGAUACCUGGUGAAGUGAAACAUCUCAGUAACCAGAGGAAAAGAAAACGAAGUGAUUCCGUAAGUAGCGGCGAGCGAAAGCGGAACAGGCCAAACCGGAUUAAUUUCCGGGGUUGUAGGACUGCAAUGUGGACUUAAAUAGGAUAGUAGAAGUGGCUGGGAAGCCACAUCAUAGAGGGUGACAAUCCCGUAUACGAAAUCUUAUUUAUACCUAGCAGUAUCCUGAGUACGGCGGGACACGUGGAAUCUUGUCGGAAUCUGCCCAGACCAUUGGGUAAGCCUAAAUACUAACCAGUCACCGAUAGCGUAUA
RNAcentral lists this ribosomal RNA (849 nucleotides) under Malacoplasma microti. Its description in RNAcentral is "bacterial LSU rRNA". The stretch from base 361 to 849 matches the Rfam family "Bacterial large subunit ribosomal RNA", at positions 1 to 496 of the family's 2925-position model. Lineage: Bacteria; Bacillati; Mycoplasmatota; Mycoplasmoidales; Mycoplasmoidaceae. The record is from RNAcentral.